Molecule: ribosomal RNA, 595 nt
Filed under: uncultured Bacteroidota bacterium
Lineage: Bacteria; Pseudomonadati; Bacteroidota
Description: bacterial SSU rRNA
Rfam family: Bacterial small subunit ribosomal RNA
Source: RNAcentral
CAACCUGCCGUCUACUCUUGGACAGCCUUCUGAAAGGAAGAUUAAUACAAGAUGGCAUCAUGAGUCCGCAUGUUCACAUGAUUAAAGGUAUUCCGGUAGACGAUGGGGAUGCGUUCCAUUAGAUAGUAGGCGGGGUAACGGCCCACCUAGUCUUCGAUGGAUAGGGGUUCUGAGAGGAAGGUCCCCCACAUUGGAACUGAGACACGGUCCAAACUCCUACGGGAGGCAGCAGUGAGGAAUAUUGGUCAAUGGGCGAGAGCCUGAACCAGCCAAGUAGCGUGAAGGAUGACUGCCCUAUGGGUUGUAAACUUCUUUUAUAAAGGAAUAAAGUCGGGUAUGCAUACCCGUUUGCAUGUACUUUAUGAAUAAGGAUCGGCUAACUCCGUGCCAGCAGCCGCGGUAAUACGGAGGAUCCGAGCGUUAUCCGGAUUUAUUGGGUUUAAAGGGAGCGUAGAUGGAUGUUUAAGUCAGUUGUGAAAGUUUGCGGCUCAACCGUAAAAUUGCAGUUGAUACUGGAUAUCUUGAGUGCAGUUGAGGCAGGCGGAAUUCGUGGUGUAGCGGUGAAAUGCUUAGAUAUCACGAAGAACUCCGAUUG